GUGAGGAAUAUUGGUCAAUGGGCGCAAGCCUGAACCAGCCAUGCCGCGUGCAGGAAGACGGUCCUAUGGAUUGUAAACUGCUUUUAUUUGGGAAUAAACCUCCUUACGUGUAGGGAGCUGAAGGUACCAAAUGAAUAAGCACCGGCUAACUCCGUGCCAGCAGCCGCGGUAAUACGGAGGGUGCAAGCGUUAUCCGGAAUCAUUGGGUUUAAAGGGUCCGCAGGCGGUCAUAUAAGUCAGUGGUGAAAGCCUACAGCUCAACUGUAGAACUGACAUUGAUACUGUAUGACUUGAAUUCGAUCGAAGUGGGCGGAAUGUGACAUGUAGCGGUGAAAUGCUUAGAUAUGUCACAGAACACCGAUAGCGAAGGCAGCUCACUAGGUCUGGAUUGACGCACAGGGACGAAAGCGUGGGGAGCAAACAGGAUUAGAAACCCGUGUAGUCC
Molecule: ribosomal RNA, 445 nt
Filed under: uncultured bacterium
Lineage: Bacteria
Description: partial 16S ribosomal RNA
Rfam family: Bacterial small subunit ribosomal RNA
Source: RNAcentral